GUGGAGUACAUGUGUGUCCCUCCUGAAGCUGCACACUAGGUCAAAGAGGUCGACCUUCCCCAAGUAGAGGAGGACAUGUCUUUGAUCAAGGUUAUAUGAGUGACCUGUGUUCCCCUGCUAGAACCUCCAAACAAACUCUCAAGGACUAUUUGAAAUUUUCUUUUAACAGGAUGCUUGGAUUUAAAGAAUGAGAGAGCCGAAUGCCAACACAAAGCCAGCUUUAUUUU
RNAcentral lists this small nuclear RNA (227 nucleotides) under Cricetulus griseus (Chinese hamster). Its description in RNAcentral is "7SK RNA". It matches the Rfam family "7SK RNA". Rfam says of the family: 7SK was discovered as an abundant small nuclear RNA in the mid-70s but a possible function has only recently been suggested. Lineage: Eukaryota; Metazoa; Chordata; Mammalia; Rodentia; Cricetidae. The record is from Rfam by way of RNAcentral.